This 317-nucleotide long non-coding RNA is filed under the name Vigna radiata. RNAcentral describes it as "long non-coding RNA (VRAD_LNC009865)". The record is from RNAcentral. Lineage: Eukaryota; Viridiplantae; Streptophyta; Magnoliopsida; Fabales; Fabaceae.
GGGUUGUACGGGGGAAACUUGAAAAAGCAAGUAAAAGGCAUUAAGCUCAAUUGUUGUGAAAAGAGAAAAACUCAUGAGAAAAAGAAAAGAAAAGAAGAAAAGCAUGAAGAUGAGCUCAAUGACAAAGAAAAGAAAAGGGAAGAAGUUAGGAAUGAGAAAUUUUGGUGAGAGAGUUGUGCUUAAUUGUUGAAUAUUUUGAUAGUUCUUUUGACUCAAGGAUUUUGCAUUCUAGAAAAACCAAUUUUCCUUGUUAGCCCAACCUCAUUACAAGCCUUGAAAAGUCCUUUUGAUGACAUUUACAUGUAAGGAUGUUGAUU